This 494-nucleotide ribosomal RNA is filed under the name uncultured bacterium. RNAcentral describes it as "partial 16S ribosomal RNA". It matches the Rfam family "Bacterial small subunit ribosomal RNA", at positions 28 to 507 of the family's 1533-position model. The record is from RNAcentral.
GACGAACGCUGGCGGCGUGCUUAACACAUGCAAGUCGAACGGUGAAGCGCCUUCCUUUUUGGUGGGUGUGGAUGAGUGGCGAACGGGUGAGUAACACGUUAGUAACCUGCCCCCUUCUUCUGGAUAACCGCAUGAAAGUGUGGCUAAUACGGGAUAUUCUGGGUCUGUCGCAUGAUGGGUCUGGGAAAGAUAUUGUUUCGGUGGGGGAUGGGCUCGCGGCCUAUCAGCUUGUUGGUGGGGUGAUGGCCUACCAAGGCGGUGACGGGUAGCCGGCCUGAGAGGGUCGACGGUCACACGGGGGAGGCGCCACGGCCAAGACUCCUAGGGGCGGCAGCGGUGGGGAAUAGUGCACAAUGGGCGCAAGCCUGAUGCAGCGACGCCGCGUGAGGGAUGGAGGCCUUCGGGUUGUGAACCUCUUUCGCCAGUGAAGCAGGCCUGCCUCGUUUGUGGGUGGGUUGACGGUAGCUGGAUAAGAAGCGCCGGCUAACUACGUG